GCAGGCCUAACACAUGCAAGUCGGACGGAAACGACAAGAACAAUCACUUCGGUGUGCGUUUUUGGGCGUCGAGUGGCGGACGGGUGAGUAACGCGUGGGAAUCUACCCUUUAGUUGGGGACAACAUAUGGAAACGUAUGCUAAUACCGAAUAUGCUCUACGGAGUAAAGGUGCCCUCUCCUUGGAAGGUAUCGCUAAAGGAUGAGCCCGCGUUAGAUUAGCUAGUUGGUAAGGUAAAGGCUUACCAAGGCGACGAUCUAUAGCUGGUUUGAGAGGAUGAUCAGCCACACUGGGACUGAGACACGGCCCAGACUCCUACGGGAGGCAGCAGUGGGGAAUAUUGCACAAUGAGGGAAACCUUGAUGCAGCCAUGCCGCGUGUGUGAAGAAGGCCCGAGGGUUGUAAAGCACUUUCAAUUGUGAGGAAGAUUAAGUAGCUAAUACCUGCUUAGUUUGACGUUAACUUUAGAAGAAGCACCGGCUAACUCUGUGCCAGCAGCCGCGGUAAUACAGAGGGUGCAAGCGUUAUUCGGAAUUACUGGGCGUAAAGCGCGCGUAGGCGGACUGUUAAGUCGGUUGUGAAAGCCCUGGGCUCAACCUAGGAACUGCAUCCGAUACUGGCAAUCUAGAGUUUAAGAGAGGGAAGUGGAAUUCCAGGUGUAGCAGUGAAAUGCGUAGAUAUCUGGAGGAACAUCAGUGGCGAAGGCGACUUCCUGGCUUAAAACUGACGCUGAGGUGCGAAAGCUUGGGUAGCGAACGGGAUUAGAUACCCCGGUAGUCCAAGCCGUAAACGAUGUCAACUAGCUGUUGGCCUUAUUAAAA
This 820-nucleotide ribosomal RNA is filed under the name uncultured bacterium. Its description in RNAcentral is "bacterial SSU rRNA". It matches the Rfam family "Bacterial small subunit ribosomal RNA", at positions 42 to 837 of the family's 1533-position model. The record is from RNAcentral.